CUGCAUGGAGCUUUGGAACCUCCAGCUGUGGUCAUCCCUUCUUAACACGAAAGACAGUCCUGUUGACAUGCAAAGCCAUCACCAUCUAACUGCUAUCUGAAUCAGACAUGCACAAUGACACUC
This is a small nucleolar RNA of Rattus norvegicus (Norway rat), 123 nucleotides long. Ensembl annotates it as small nucleolar RNA, H/ACA box 24. Its record names the gene Snora24. The record is from Ensembl. NCBI's taxonomy places the organism in Eukaryota, Metazoa, Chordata, Mammalia, Rodentia, Muridae.